RNAcentral lists this long non-coding RNA (204 nucleotides) under Musa acuminata (dwarf banana). Its description in RNAcentral is "long non-coding RNA (MACU_LNC002096)". The record is from RNAcentral. Lineage: Eukaryota; Viridiplantae; Streptophyta; Magnoliopsida; Zingiberales; Musaceae.
GGCAAGUCUGACCGACCUCUGGACUACUUGUGCAGCCUUUGUGGUGGGUUGCCAAUUGUGGUUAGGGGCAUUCAGAGUUUGCAGGACCAGCGAGGACUUUUUGUGUCCUGCUGCUGCCACUGAAACUUUCACCUUCGUCGAGUGAGAACAUCCAUCCUCCUCCUGCCUUUGUUACUGCAGCAGCUUUUUGAAGUAGAACCAUUU